RNAcentral lists this long non-coding RNA (406 nucleotides) under Bos mutus (wild yak). RNAcentral's name for it is "lncRNA (ENSBMUG00000010196.1)". The record is from RNAcentral. Lineage: Eukaryota; Metazoa; Chordata; Mammalia; Artiodactyla; Bovidae.
AAGGAAGGAAGUGGUAGGAAAGAUGAAGCUAACUCUUGCUGUUUUUCUCUUUAAGAAUCUACAGUCCAUAAUGGAGCCACUGUACUGGCUUUUGGAAGGAGGAGAUUCUGAAGAUAGGGAGAUUCAGCAAUCAGUCUUUGAAAUUUCCUGUGGUCUGUUCAAUCUAGAUGCAAAGGACAUGGAAAAAUCAAGUGCUCAAGUGGUUUAAAUAUGUUUUGGAUAUUCUUAUUUAUAGAUUACAGGAUUUUUCCAAUUAAAAUCCGCAGUUGUCAUGCAGAAGGAGGUUAUGCCCUUCUUGAUCACCAGUUUUAUUUGAAAUGCUUAGCAUUAUAGUGUGUUACUGAAUGCUGUUUUAAUCAAAGUAUAGAAAAAUAAAAACAAUUCUAUAUGUUGACUUUUUUUCUAA